GACGAACGCUGGCGGCGUGCUUAACACAUGCAAGUCGAGCGGUAAGGCCCUUUCGGGGGGUACACGAGCGGCGAACGGGUGAGUAACACGUGGGUGACCUGCCCUUAGCUCUGGGAUAAGCCUGGGAAACUGGGUCUAAUACCGGAUAUGACUCCAUAACGCAUGUUGUGGGGUGGAAAGCCUUGUGCGGCUAGGGAUGGGCCCGCGGCCUAUCAGCUUGUUGGUGGGGUGAUGGCCACCAAGGCGACGACGGGUAGCCGGCCUGAGAGGGCGACCGGCCACACUGGGACUGAGACACGGCCCAGACUCCUACGGGAGGCAGCAGUGGGGAAUCUUGCGCAAUGGGCGAAGCCUGACGCAGCGACGCCGCGUGGGGAUGAC
This 381-nucleotide ribosomal RNA is filed under the name uncultured bacterium. RNAcentral's name for it is "bacterial SSU rRNA". It matches the Rfam family "Bacterial small subunit ribosomal RNA", at positions 28 to 412 of the family's 1533-position model. The record is from RNAcentral.